GUCCAGGGAUGGGAACCGAACCCACAUGCUCCGCCUACCGGGCAGAUGCCAUGUCCACUAGGCUACCCUGGA
RNAcentral lists this transfer RNA (72 nucleotides) under Cordylochernes scorpioides. RNAcentral describes it as "tRNA-Thr". Lineage: Eukaryota; Metazoa; Arthropoda; Arachnida; Pseudoscorpiones; Chernetidae. The record is from RNAcentral.